This is a non-coding RNA of Oryza nivara, 209 nucleotides long. The record is from Rfam. NCBI's taxonomy places the organism in Eukaryota, Viridiplantae, Streptophyta, Magnoliopsida, Poales, Poaceae.
AAUAAGUAUAGUUUUACACUAUUUACAUUCAACGUUUGACCGUUCGUCUUAGUUAAAUUUUUUUUUAUGAUUAGUAUUUUUAUUACUAUUAGAUGAUAAAAUAUGAAUAGUACUUUAUGUGUGACUAAAUAUUUUCAAAUUUUUCAUAAAAUUUUCAAAUAAAACGGACGGUCAAACGUUGGGCACGGAUAUAUACGGCUGCAUUUAUU